GAGGGUAUAGCUCAGUGGUAGAGCACAUGGUUAGCAUGCACAAGGUCCUGGGUUCAAUCCCCAGUCCCUCCA
This 72-nucleotide transfer RNA is filed under the name Camelus bactrianus (Bactrian camel). It matches the Rfam family "tRNA". From Rfam's summary of the family: Transfer RNA (tRNA) molecules are approximately 80 nucleotides in length. Their secondary structure includes four short double-helical elements and three loops (D, anti-codon, and T loops). Further hydrogen bonds mediate the characteristic L-shaped molecular structure. tRNAs have two regions of fundamental functional importance: the anti-codon, which is responsible for specific mRNA codon recognition, and the 3' end, to which the tRNAs corresponding amino acid is attached (by aminoacyl-tRNA synthetases). tRNAs cope with the degeneracy of the genetic code in two manners: having more than one tRNA (with a specific anti-codon) for a particular amino acid; and 'wobble' base-pairing, i.e. permitting non-standard base-pairing at the 3rd anti-codon position. The record is from Rfam by way of RNAcentral. RNAcentral also lists the same sequence under 2 other names. Lineage: Eukaryota; Metazoa; Chordata; Mammalia; Artiodactyla; Camelidae.